RNAcentral lists this long non-coding RNA (2550 nucleotides) under Vitis vinifera (wine grape). RNAcentral's name for it is "long non-coding RNA (VVIN_LNC006969)". Lineage: Eukaryota; Viridiplantae; Streptophyta; Magnoliopsida; Vitales; Vitaceae. The record is from RNAcentral.
UCAGUUCUGUUACCUUCCUUCCUCGUCUCUAUUAGUUUCUUUACAUGGUAUCAGAGCAAUUUCAAAGAAAAUUGAGACUGAAAAGAUGAUUGUCCAAUAUGUUUAAUGUUCAAACCUGUUCCAUUGCCCAUCAUGAUCUUAUCUUGCCCAACAAAUUCAGUUUUAUUCAUCAGAUUAUGAAUGUCUGGUAUGAUUUGUAGCUCCAGAAUCUGGGUACCAGCUAGAGUCAUAGGUAAAUUCAAGAGUAGUAGCAACCAUGGCAGUCAUUCGUGAUGAAUCUUGAGUAGAAGGAAACCCAUUCUAAAAUGAAGAUGGAAACAAGCAAAUUUUUGGUAAUAGAAGGAACAUGAAGAAGAUAAUUUAAAGAGAGCAUAUGACACAUGUACAUCUUGGAAACAAGCAAUGACUGAUGAAUUGAUGGCUCUUUUGAAGAAUAAUACAUGGUCCUUAGUCCCAUUACCACUUGGAAGAACACCUAUUGGCUACAAAUGGGUAUUUAAAGUGAAGGAAAACCCCAAUGGCUCAAUUCAGAAGUGCAAAGCCAGGUUAGUGGCAAAAGGGUUUCAUCAAGUUGCUGGUUUUGAUUUCAUAGAAACUUUCAGUCCAAUUGUUAAACCUGGAACAACUCGGGUUAUGCUUACUAUAGCUUUGUCUAGAGGUUGGUUAAUUCAUCAAUUAGACGUUAAUAAUGCCUUUUUGAAUGGAGUGUUGCAUGAGGAAGUUUUUAUAGAACAACCCCUUGGAUUUAUUCAGCACAACCAGUCUCAUCUUGUUUGUAAAUUGCAUAAAUCUUUAUAUGGCUUAAAACAAGCACCAAGGGCCUGGUUUGAAAAGUUAAGUACAACCCUAUAUGCCUUUGGAUUUAUCUCUGCCAAGUCAGAUCAGUCUUUGUUCAUUCGUGUGACAAAAAGUCAUUCUACCUAUAUUCUUGUAUAUGUAGAUGACAUUCUUAUCACUGGUAGUAGUGAACAAGUUGUGAUGCAUCUUAUUACCAGUUUGAAUAGAGAGUUUGCCUUAAAAGAUCUUGGAGAAGUCAACUAUUUUUUAGGGAUUGAAGUGAAUCAUACUUCUGAAGGUAUUCACCUUUCUCAAGGAAAAUACAUAACUGAUCUAUUAUGCAAAGCCAAAAUGCAAGGUGUCAAUCCUAUUUCUACUCCUAUGACCAGUGGACAGAAACUUUUAGGCUAUGGAAGUGAAUCAGUUCAAGAUGUCAAGUUGUACAGAUCAAUUGUAGGGGCUUUGCAAUAUGUAAUAGUUACUAGGCCUGAAACUGCCUAUAGUGUUAAUAUAGUAUGUCAAUAUAUGCAAGCUCCAUUAGAAUCUCAUUGGAAAGUAGUCAAAAGAAUUCUCAGAUACUUGAAAGGCACUCUUCAUCAUGGAUUACAUUUAAGAAAGUCUCCUACUCUUGAUCUUGUAGCAUUUUGUGAUGCUGAUUAGGCCUCUAAUCCUGAUGAUCAAAGAUCAACUUCAUGAUGUUGUGUAUAUUUUGGUUCAAAUUUAGUCACUUGGCAAUCAAAGAAACAACAUACUGUAUCUAGAUCAAGUACAGAAGCAGAGUACAGAAGCCUAGCUAGUUUGGUUGCAGAAAUCACUUGGCUACAAUCUCUUCUCUCAGAAAUUAAAGUCACUUUGCCUACACCACCAAUUAUUUGGUGUGAUAAUCUCAGCACUAUUAUGUUAGAUGCUAAUCUAAUAUUGCAUGCCAAGACAAAACACAUUGAAUUAGAUUUGUAUUUUGUCAGGGAAAAGGUUCUACAAAGAAACGUUUCAGUCCAACAUGUGCCUUCCAUUGAUCAAGUAGCAGAUGUCUUGACUAAAGCUGUCUCAAGCACUUAGUUUGUAAAUCUAAGAAACAAACUCAAAGUAGAAAAUCUUUAUACCUUAAGUUUGAGGGAGAAUGUUAAGAGAUAGUUUUAUAUGGUUACAAGAUGUACAUGUGUCAUAUACUCAUUGGUUUUCUUCUAUUAUUGUUAGGUGAAUUGUUAGAGAAUUUGUUGGUUAUGUCUACUAUAUAUAUUACUCUGUAAACAACAGAAUAGUGAGAGAAAAAUAAAAAACAGAAAAUUACUUUACCAUUCUCAGUUCUGUUACCUUCUUUUCUCGUCUCUGUUACUUUCUUUACAGGGUUUGAUGUUGUUGACUUUGUAUUGGAUGGAGUUGCUUGAGUCCAUAGUUGGAUAAAUCUCGAUUAGUUAAGACCUGUAGUGUUUUGGUUUAUGCUGGUUCCUUGAUGGUGAUGAAUAAGGUGGAUCUGUUUUUAUGCCCGUGAAUUUGAAGUUAAAUCUUUUGAUGUUGAAAGAAGUAAAACUGAAAGAAGAAUGCAAAUGGUAGGAGAAACCUUGUGAAACACCAUCUUUUGAUGUUGUGGAGAAACUGUUGUUUCUUCGUCGACCUCCAAGCGGAUUGAGGGAGAGGAGAAAAACGAGUGUGCUUUGACUGGAAACUAAUACCUUAGAAGAACACCAGUCGAUGGAGAACCAACUAGGAUUCCCCCAACAAACAUCCUUGCACCUUCCCAAGUAAAAAAAAAACCACUAGAGAGCAAGAAAG